AACGAACGCUGGCGGCAGGCCUAACUCAUGCAAGUCGAGCGAGGACUUCGGUCCUAGCGGCGGACGGGUGAGUAACGCGUGGGAACGUGCCCUUUGCUUCGGAAUAGCCCUGGGAAACUGGGAGUAAUACCGGAUGAGCCCUUUGGGGGAAAGAUUUAUCGGCGAAGGAUCGGCCCGCGUUGGAUUAGGUAGUUGGUGGGGUAAUGGCCUACCAAGCCGACGAUCCAUAGCUGGUUUGAGAGGAUGAUCAGCCACACUGGGACUGAGACACGGCCCAGACUCCUACGGGAGGCAGCAGUGGGGAAUCUUAGACAAUGGGGGAAACCCUGAUCUAGCCAUGCCGCGUGAGAGAUGAAGGCCUUAGGGUUGUAAAGCUCUUUCAGCUGGGAAGAUAAUGACGGUACCAGCAGAAGAAGCCCCGGCUAACUCCGUG
This 433-nucleotide ribosomal RNA is filed under the name uncultured bacterium. RNAcentral describes it as "partial 16S ribosomal RNA". It matches the Rfam family "Bacterial small subunit ribosomal RNA", at positions 29 to 507 of the family's 1533-position model. The record is from RNAcentral.